Molecule: non-coding RNA, 24 nt
Filed under: Arabidopsis thaliana (thale cress)
Lineage: Eukaryota; Viridiplantae; Streptophyta; Magnoliopsida; Brassicales; Brassicaceae
Source: RNAcentral
AGAACCUCCUAUUGGAAGUGCUCU